AUUUUUAAUAAAUUGCAGAUAUUUAAUUAAUUGUAUAUUAUUAUGUUUUGUGUAGAUAUAUAUAUACUAUGUCUGUAAGAUAUUAAAAUGUUAAUGCAGCUCAAUGGUUGAAUAUCCUCUAUUAGUCCAGAAUGUCAGCAUUUCGAUUCACUUGAAAUGGAAUCGAAAUGCUGUUUUCUUUCUCAUUUUCUAAUUUUCAAAACGACGUCGUUUUGAUAUAAGAGAGAUUCUAACGGAAAGUUAACUCCGUGAUUGUUUGGUUGACGGAAACUUAAUGACAUGCCCUAAAUGGUCAAGUCAACAAUUUUUGAUUAUUUUAUCAAAAGUCAAACUAAACUUUAGGAUUUAAUUGUCUUCUUGAAACUUCAUACUUUUUUCGUCCCAAAUUUGAAAGUUCGCGAUUUUUUUGACAUUUUUCCCAUUUUUUUAUACU
Molecule: small RNA, 433 nt
Filed under: Arabidopsis thaliana (thale cress)
Lineage: Eukaryota; Viridiplantae; Streptophyta; Magnoliopsida; Brassicales; Brassicaceae
Description: ATSL173150
Source: RNAcentral